Molecule: long non-coding RNA, 228 nt
Filed under: Mytilus galloprovincialis (Mediterranean mussel)
Lineage: Eukaryota; Metazoa; Mollusca; Bivalvia; Mytilida; Mytilidae
Source: RNAcentral
UGCACUAUGAAAAAGAUAUUUAAAAAGGAUUUUGUUAUGCGUUUCUUUAACAUUUUCCUGGCAUUCUGGGGACAAGUCCUUAAAAUCAACUCGAAAAUUUUGAGCUGCAUCAAAUCAUAACCAUAUGAUUCCGUACGUGAGUCCAAUUAUUUCUAGCUUUCUUCUUUCUAAUUAUUUUCUAUUGAGAAAACUGUCAUCAUCUUUGUGAUUUUUGAUAACAUUGUCAAC